RNAcentral lists this ribosomal RNA (253 nucleotides) under uncultured bacterium. RNAcentral's name for it is "partial 16S ribosomal RNA". It matches the Rfam family "Bacterial small subunit ribosomal RNA", at positions 524 to 776 of the family's 1533-position model. The record is from RNAcentral.
UACGUAGGGGGCAAGCGUUGUCCGGAAUCAUUGGGCGUAAAGAGCGCGUAGGCGGUCCGGUAAGUCCGCUCUGAAAGUCCGGGGCUCAACCCCGGGAGGCGGGCGGAUACUGUCGGGCUAGAGUCCGGAAGAGGCGAGUGGAAUUCCUGGUGUAGCGGUGAAAUGCGCAGAUAUCAGGAAGAACACCCGUGGCUAAGGCGGCUCUCUAGUACGGUACUGACGCUGAGACGCGAAAGCGUGGGGAGCGAACAGG